This 3431-nucleotide long non-coding RNA is filed under the name Physcomitrium patens. Its description in RNAcentral is "long non-coding RNA (PPAT_LNC009509)". The record is from RNAcentral. Lineage: Eukaryota; Viridiplantae; Streptophyta; Bryopsida; Funariales; Funariaceae.
UGAAUCCGAUGACUACUUGAUGUUCGUUUUUGAUAGCUAUGCGAACCCUUUGCAGUUCCGUGGUUCCGAUCUGUAGUUGUUCUUCAUAUACCAAUCCUAGUUCUUCUGAGGGAAGGACGACGUAUUUGAUUCCUCGGAGUUUACCCUCUUCUAUUCCGUGAAUGUGAAAUAUUUCUAUUGUAGUGUUUCUGAUGUCGGGCGUCCACCAAUCACGUGAGGAGUAAGGGGGUGCCGAGUUUGGAUUCCAAGGGAUGCAAUCCUGGAGCUGGUAAUGCUGGAGGUCUGCACGCUAGCUUCCCGUUCUCUGUUGGAGGCAGGUGGUUGUGUACCAGUCGCGUCUAUUGUCAUCCCAUUUGUCUAAGAAUGAGUGUACGCCUUUUCUCGAUCAUUGAAUGAAUCGGUCCUUUUUGUCUUAGCCUAACAUUUUCUGCUCAACAUCUACUAUUCUGGGGUUGCCACAGAUCGGUUGGCGAAGGAUUUUGUAUAGUGGUGGAAGAGUUGAUAAGCCGUGUUGUAUGCUGCUCCAUGCUGCACUGGCGCUUCUCCACAAAUCAGAUCCUUGUGGGCAUACUUGUAAGUUGCUUCCUAUCACCCAAUGUUGACUCGGAUAUCACUGUCCGUUUUGUUUGAACCUGAUUGCUUCUAUUCUAUGUCUAACCAUGAUUUUCCAUGGUUCUAGACCAGGAGUAAGCCCCCUAGCAAUCAAUUUUGCUAGAAGUGCCCUAGCUUUUGUGGCGGGGCCAAUUAUCUUGAGUCCUCCUUGUGUCAUUAGUUGGAUUAUCGUGUCCCAUUUGACCUUAGCCCUUACUUUGCCACUUGUUAUCCCACCCCAUAGAUAGUUUCUGAUCAUAGCACGGAUCUGGAUAUAUAUCUUAGUUUCUGGAGCAUGAAACUAGGUACCACAUGGAAGCAAGUAUAACCUGGUUGAUUGCUAGUAAUCUUCCAGCUAGGGACAGCUUUUUGGAUCCCCACUUUACCAGCUGUUUGGUAAUUUGUUGUACUACCUUAUUUCCCCGUUCUUCCGCUGGUAAUCAAAAACCUAUAUGGAAGCCAAAGUACUUGACGGAUUGGCCUGUAGUUUUCCAAAUUAAGUUUAGAUCUUCUCCCCAAUUCCAGCUGCGUUCGUGUUAAGAUGCCCAGAUCGCACAAAUUUUGUACCAGUUGAUCUUUGCCCCAUAGGCUUCACAAAACCGAGUCAGAGCUCGCAUUGCUCUUGUGAGGUUUUCCGGGGAUCCUUUUAGGAACAGUGCAGUGUCAUCUGCGAACAUUUGAUUGUUUAGGGAUGAGUUGUCCGAUAGUGUGAGUCCUUGUACUUGCCAUUUGGGGUCGUCCAGCAUGUACCUCAGGACAUCUGCUACGAAUAAAAAGAGGUAUGGUGCCAAGGGGCAUCCCUGGCAAACCGAUCUCUCUAUUUUGAAUAAGGGGCCAUUUUGUCCAUUCAUCGUGAUCGUGGCUGCAGCUUCCUUGUUGAGGGCCAUGACUAUAUUUAUCCAGGAAUUGGAGAAUCCAAUCUGAGUAAGUGCUGCUUUUGAGAAUCUCCAGUUGAUCCGAUCGUAAGCUUUUUCAAAAUCUAGAAAUUAUUGUUCUCAACCAUUGGGUCUCUGCUGUAGAGGUCUUGGUAGUAUUGUUGUGCAUAUGAGGCCAUAUCUGCUUGUUGCAUUAGAAUUUGAUUGUUGUAGUUGAAUUCGGGAAUGUGGCCUCGUUUGCUUUUCGCAUUGUGAUGUGCAAAAAAUUGAACGUUGCAUCUGUCGUCGACCUGAGACCUACGAAUUGCUCGUAGGGCGGCUAUGAUUUUGAUCGCCCAGGUGUCGAUUGAAUGUUGUUGUAUGGCCUCUUUCCACGCUUGGCUCAACAUAAGUCUGCCCUCCUCGCUAUGUAACUAUCUCUUAUCGAAGAAGGGCUGUCGGGAAAUGGGAGGGCCUUUAUGUUUGAUCUUCAAAAAAAUUGGUGAGUGAUCUUGUCUUAAUGUUUGGUCGGUCUACCAAUUGUGUUAGUAGCCAUCCCAUAUUUCUUCCACCCUAUUGAUCCCAUUGAUGAACUAUGUGCAAAACCUCAAUUUGGCUUCUACUUCCAAGUUGAUGUUAUCGUCUGGGGUGAUUUUUGUUUUCAAGAAUAGAGAUUGUUGCAUCUUUUUGGCAUGUGUUGAUAAGAGCUUUGGUAAGUUUUUUUUGGAUCGUCAACCAAGCCAUCUGUAUUGCUUGCCAAAGGUUUGAGCCUUGAAGUUGUAUUUUGAGGGCCAUGAAUAGCCAACCAAAAUGUUCGCUCCAAUCUUUGUCCAUGCAAAGUUGUGUGUUCUUGAUCUUGUGCAAGAUGAGGGAUUUCCAAGGUUCUUCUUCUAAGACUAGGGCUCUUAAUAUUAUUUUGGCCAAGAAUGCUCUCGUUUGGCCCAGUGGGUUGAAUACCCUAAUCCUGUCUUAGGCUAUCGGGGCAAUUACUGUGUCCUAUGCCACUUUGGCCCUUAUCUUCUUGUCCAGGUGGCUUGUCCAUACAAAGUUCCAAAAAAUGGCUCUUAUCUUUGUUAGGACCUUUUGUUGGAUAAUGCUGCAUGAAGCCAAAUAUCAUAUGCUCUUGAAUACGACCUGAUUUGAUACAAGUAGUCCAAUUGGAAGAGAGUUUCUUGUUUGACCACUGUGCUAGUUUUUCGCAGAUUUGUUGCAUAACUACAUUUUUUUUCAUGAUGGACUAUUUUCAUGCUAGACUAUUUCAUGCCAAAGUAUUUGAUGUAGGUGCCUUGGAGGAGCCACAUGAGGCCCUUGUCCUCCCUCCAGGUCCAUGGUUGUGGAUCUUGUCCUCCCUCCAGUUCCAUGGUUGUGGAUCAUUGUUAAUUCAUAGUGCUCUUGCUUUGUUUCAAUUGACCAAUAAUCUUGAGGUUGCAUAAAAAAGCUCAAGUACCUCAAAAGUGUGUUGUAUGUUAUCUAGGGCUCUUUUGAGGUAGAGGGCCAUGUUCUUUGCAAAGCAUUGGUUGUAGAUUGUGUUGCCAUUUAGGAAACAAAAACCAUCUAUUACAUAGGUGGAGUCAUUUAUCAUGUAUGACAACAUAUCCAAUAUGAAGAGGUAUAAGUAAGGUAUUAAUGGACAUCUUUGUCUAACCAAUCUUUGAAGUGUGAAUUUUUGACUAUUUUGUUCAUUCGUAAGGAUGGUUGAAUGGACAUUUUGGUAGAGUGCCAUUGUCCAUUUCAUCCAUUCUUUCAAAAAUCCCUAUCAUAUUUGUGUGAGGUGGGUGCAAGUUGGUAGCAAUGAUUGGAAUCUAUUGGUGAGGACUUUGGUUGUCAACAUGUAUGUGGUUGUCAGCACCAUAAUAGGGUGGUAAUUCUUUAUGUUUGAUGUUGUUCUUCCUUUUGAUAGGAAGCUAAUUAGCCUGUUAUUGAGGAUUUUGUGAAAGCAUCUUUUGUUAAAAGCAAUGUUGAUGAAUAUAAUGAUGUUUUAGUCCA